UCGAGUUUACAACUCCCAAACCCCUGUGAACCAUACCAUAUCGUUGCCUCGGCGGCGCCCCCUCGGGGGACCGCCAGAGGACCCAAACUCUUGCCUUUUUGUAAGUUUGUCUGAGUGUUGCUCCAAGCAAAUAAAUCA
Molecule: unclassified non-coding RNA, 138 nt
Filed under: uncultured Viridispora
Lineage: Eukaryota; Fungi; Ascomycota; Sordariomycetes; Hypocreales; Nectriaceae
Description: sequence contains ITS1
Source: RNAcentral